UCAGAAGGCAGCACUCUUGGGGCAUCUCUGCUAUGGCCUGGGCUCUGCUCCUCCUCACGCUCCUCACUCAGGGCUCAGGGUCCUGGGCCCAGUCUCCCCUGACUCAGCCUUCCUCCGUGUCUGACUCACUUGGAAAGUCGGUCACCAUCUCCUGUGCUGGAAGCAGCAAUGACAUUGGGGGAUAUAACCUCGUAUCCUGGUACCAACAGCGCCCAGGCACAGCCCCUAAACUCCUGAUUUAUGAGGUAAAUAAACGGCCCUCAGGAAUCCCUGAGCGCUUCUCUGGCUCCAAGUCUGGCAACACGGCCACCCUGACCAUCUCUGGGCUCCAGGCUGACGACGAGGCCGAUUAUUACUGUUGCUCAUAUAGCAGCAGUGGCACUUUGCACAGUGACUCAAGUUCAUGGGGAAGUGAGACCAAAAGCUGCCCUGUGCUCACAGGCUCCCUGUUGCUCUGA
Miniopterus natalensis is the source of this 458-nucleotide non-coding RNA. NCBI's taxonomy places the organism in Eukaryota, Metazoa, Chordata, Mammalia, Chiroptera, Miniopteridae. The record is from the annotation of a RefSeq genome assembly.